RNAcentral lists this ribosomal RNA (253 nucleotides) under uncultured bacterium. Its description in RNAcentral is "partial 16S ribosomal RNA". It matches the Rfam family "Bacterial small subunit ribosomal RNA", at positions 524 to 776 of the family's 1533-position model. The record is from RNAcentral.
UACGUAGGGUGCGAGCGUUGUCCGGAAUUAUUGGGCGUAAAGGGCUCGUAGGCGGUUUGUCGCGUCGGGAGUGAAAACCUUGGGCUUAACUCAGGGCUUGCUUUCGAUACGGGAAGACUAGAGGUAUGCAGGGGAGAGCGGAAUUCCUGGUGUAGCAGUGAAAUGCGCAGAUAUCAGGAGGAACACCGGUGGCGAAGGCGGUUCUCUGGGCAUGAUCUGACGCUGAGGUGCGAAAGUGUGGGGAGCGAACAGG